Fukomys damarensis (Damara mole-rat) is the source of this 3361-nucleotide long non-coding RNA. RefSeq lists it as uncharacterized. Lineage: Eukaryota; Metazoa; Chordata; Mammalia; Rodentia; Bathyergidae. The transcript has 2 exons. The record is from RefSeq and is a predicted model, not a curated record.
CCUCUAUAACAAAAAAAGGCACCUAACAUCCCUCAGCGCGGCUGUGCUUCUGUUUUGCCAAGAAUAAAGGCCUUUCCAUCAGCCGGUUGCUGAGUUCUUGACUUGUUGAGAGGUGCCAGUAUCCUAACAUUUGGUGUCAGUAGUGGGAUCGGGAGCCCUCAGAACACACACCAGUUGGGUCCGAGCCCCGAUUCCUUCCGCGCUCCAAGUAUUGACCUCCCUUCCGGCUCACAUCCACUCGCCCAGACGCUAGACCUCAUCCAGAUAGAUCAAGUACAAAAGUCGGAAGGUCCCACAUCCUUUAAGGCGCAAGAAACGGGGCCACUGAAGCUUCAGCUCACCCGAGUUCCAGAGAGUCCCGAAACUGGUUCUGAAACCGAGCUGUAAGAUGCCACCCAAGACCCUCGUCCUCCUCUCCCUUUUCCUUCUCCCCCUCUUCUCUCCGACGCUACAGUCCCCUGGGUCCUCAACCACUUCCCAGCUCAUCUGGUCCCUGUCACGAACAGGCACAGACCCCCUGACAAUAGCAAGAGUUUCAGCCACCGCUGGGGCCCAGAUCAAGUUCGAGGUCAGUCUCUGUCGAUUCUUUGAACGCUCCAGUAAUGUUCAUACUCCUUCCUUAACUAGGUGGUGGGGUCCAAACUCAGGAGAUAACUCCAAGCAGUGCUCUAUAGAGGCAGCAAAUGCCCUGGGAAGCCAUCCAGUGCAGCCCUAUCUAUGUCCCAGUGGAAAUCCAGACUCCUCUUGCCAUGGCUCCAACCAGUUUCACUGCAGCAAGUGGGGCUGUGAGUCCAUAGCAACUUGGAAAUCGAGCUCAGACCCUUUUAUUUCCUGGACACCAACAAACUACCCCAAUAUGUCCUGCAGUACUUUCUGCUACAAAACUACCAUUUCUAUCCUCAAUUCUAGCGAUCCCAGCUGGUUGCUGGGACACUCUUGGGGCCUGCGGCUCUAUCUCACUUCCACGAUUGACCCUGGAGUGGAAUUUAACAUCAAAGCUCAGACUUCCGUAUGCCCCCCUGACUACCCCUCCACUGCCAUCACAUAUUAUACAGAUUGUUAAUAAUCACCCCCUAAUUCUUAACCAACAUUUCAAACUACAUCUCAACCUCUCUGCCUUAAAUCUCAACAGCUCCAGCUCACCUGUGACUCUAUCCUCAGGAUGUAUCCCUUAGUCAAACACCUCCCCCAGUCUAGCCGGGGAUGCUGGAUAGGACUAAACCUGCAAGGUCUUCCACACACCAAAUUACAGGCUGUCUCUAUGGUCUUCCCCACCAACAAUUUCACAUUCUCCAACGUAACAAGCAGCACCCCUAACGCCUCAACCCUUCUCAGUGAUAUCAGCCCACCUCCAAUCUCCCGAUGCUUUCACUUAAAAUAACACCACACCACAUUAACCCCUACACAAUGUGAUGAGAUUUCCACAUUCCCUUCCCAUCUCCCUAACAGGUGCGACCCUUUGCUAUUCCAUUUGCGUUGGACCGCUCUAUACUAGGCACAGCCUAUUAAUUUUGCUGCUGUAUGCGCCCCCGUUUUCAGAAUCCCUGACUUCAAGCUCAUAGCAGGAGAUGACCCCGUCCCUAUACCUUCAGUAUCUGUCAUCCUGGGCCACCGAAAAAGAUCUUUGCAAAUUGCCAUUCUUCCCCUCAUCGCUGUACUUGGAGCAACAGUCGGUCUAGCCACCGGCACAGAGGGCAUUGUCCACUCAGUGGCUAGCUUUAAAUCACUAAGCCAACAACACAGGAAAGACAUACACUGAACCGGUCAAAUAAUCCUGACCCUUCAACAACAGAGCAACUCCCUAGCCCGGGUAGUAUUACAAAAUCGCCGCGGGCUAGACCUCCUGCUGGCGGGAGAAGGAGGGCUCUGCCUAGCUCUCCAAAAGAGCUGCUUUUUCUGUUAACCAGUCAGGAAUAGUCACCAACAAGAUACAUUCCCUGCAAGAAGAUCUUGAAAAUCGAAGGCGCCAGUUAAACCAGGCCCCGCAGGGUUUCUCAUGGCUCAGUAAUAACCCACCUUUGCUGGCUCUCCUCCCCUUGCUAACCCCCAUAAUUCUAAUAUUGGGCUUGGCAGCUGUCUCUCCUUGUCUGUUCCGCUUCCUACAGAUACAAAUAUCUAAAUUGUCUCAUCAGACUGUUACCUAGCUUGUCUUACAGGCUCCUCCCAACCAAGUUCUUGAGCUCCAAGAAGAAACCACGGUUUUCCGCGAGUGGGCCCCUCGGACUGAUUCCUAACCUGUCCUAGAUACAGUUCCAUGACCUGGAUCAGGAUUCAUCUAUGAUUUCAGCAUCUCAUAACCCAGCUACAACAAGAUCUUCACUGGCACUGCCCCCUGGAAGGGUCCAGAUGGAAUUAUAGAGUGGAUCACAGACAAUUUCUAUCAGGGAACCCGCCAAGAUUUUAGCUCAGAAAAAGUUGCCUUCUAUACCCUUCUCCUUAUCUGCUGGCUUACGCUCCCACCCCCAAAACAACUACAAGUUGAGCCAUUAGAUUAAAAUCUCCCAAGGGCCCCAAAACUCUCCCAACCCCUAAUAUGGGACACACAAUUCUUUUCACAUAUCUCACAACGGUACCUGUCGCCUACUCAAAGAGACCUGAUCUGCCGCUCGUACUCACCCAGAGAUUGCCCUUUCUGUGCUGAGUAUGUGAGCUCCUCCUAAGACUCAUCAUGGCAGAGACAAAACAACCUAGUCCUGCUCCCAGGAUAAUGCAGUUCCCACUGACAAAACUUCAAGGCCCCUAAAAAGUUACGUACAUAACUCCCUGGCAGUGUUAUUAUUCUUUGAUUUUUGUCAAGGAAAGUCCUUUUCAUCAUCCGUAUAUAAAACCUUUAAGGUACAUUUUAAUGAAUUUCUUCCUCGCCGCUUUAGGCCUCCCUCCCGAUGGCUGUGCUGCCCCCUGAGUUCCUAUACACGCCCAGAUCAACCCCCGUCACUCUGCGAUCCUGCCAUUAUUGCAUCCCCGGAAACCCCUAAACAAGCAGCCCUUCACAAGGAUAAGAGAUAACAGAACAAAGAUCCCUCCCUUGGCCUCGCAUCACCCCACACCUGCCCCUUUUCAGCAGGAAGUAGCUACAGAAGAGAGAUUCAUUGCCCCUCUUCCUGAGGCCAUAACAAACAAAAAGGGGGAAAUGUAAGCAGCCCAGUUUCCCCUUCCUCCAAAGCCCUGAUAAGUUUCGGUUUCCUAAACUGACUUAGGUUUCGCCCUCCCCAAAUCGUCCCUUACAAGAAAAGGAAACCUAUGAGGCACCUCCUGUCCCAUCUCUUUCUUCUGGGCCCUUUAUAACAUAUGAAAGGGCACCUAACAUCCCUCAGCGCUGCUGCACUUCCGCUUUGCCAAGAAUAAAGGCCUUUCCAUCGUC